This 393-nucleotide ribosomal RNA is filed under the name uncultured bacterium. RNAcentral describes it as "partial 16S ribosomal RNA". It matches the Rfam family "Bacterial small subunit ribosomal RNA", at positions 523 to 918 of the family's 1533-position model. The record is from RNAcentral.
AUACGGAAGGUCCGGGCGUUAUCCGGAUUUAUUGGGUUUAAAGGGAGCGCAGGCGGAGAUGCAAGCGUGACGUCAAAUUUCGGGGCUCAACCCCGUCUCGCGUCGCGAACUGCGUCCCUUGGUUGCGGGAAGGGGAGGCGGAACUCGUGGUGUAGCGGUGAAAUGCAUAGAUAUCACGAAGAACUCCGAUCGCGAAGGCAGCCUUCCGGCCCGUCAACGACGCUCAUGCUCGAAGGUGCGGGUAUCAAACAGGAUUAGAUACCCUGGUAGGCCGCACAGUAAACGAUGGACACCCGCGGUUUGGCCUGUAUGGCUGAGCCGCCAAGCGAAAGCGUUAAGUGUCCCACCUGGGGAGUACGCCGGCAACGGUGGAACUCAAAGGAAUUGACGGGG